This 73-nucleotide transfer RNA is filed under the name Canis lupus familiaris (dog). It matches the Rfam family "tRNA". From Rfam's summary of the family: Transfer RNA (tRNA) molecules are approximately 80 nucleotides in length. Their secondary structure includes four short double-helical elements and three loops (D, anti-codon, and T loops). Lineage: Eukaryota; Metazoa; Chordata; Mammalia; Carnivora; Canidae. The record is from Rfam by way of RNAcentral.
GUCUAGCUGGCUCAGUCAGUGGAGCACAUGACUCUUAACCUUGAGGUCGUGAAUUCAAGCCCCAUGCUGGGCA